This 470-nucleotide long non-coding RNA is filed under the name Gallus gallus (chicken). Its description in RNAcentral is "long non-coding RNA NONGGAT004643". Lineage: Eukaryota; Metazoa; Chordata; Aves; Galliformes; Phasianidae. The record is from RNAcentral.
UCUUGAGAUGCACCACAGCAUCUCAAAACCUCCUCAAAGUACAGGAUCCAACUUUGUGAACAUGGGGCUAAUGUAGAGAUGGAAACGGCCUCAAGCAGUGUCAGGGGAGGUUUAGUUUGGAUGCUAGGGAAAAUUUCUUCACUGGGAGGAUUGUGAAGCAUUGGAACAAUCUGCCCAGCUGCCAAGGGAUGCACUGCUGGCUCUGCCCUGAGUUCUGCGUCAUCCUGGAGUUACCGAUGUGGUGCAGGGAGGAGGGUUGGCUGCUGAGAACGCUAUACCUUGCCAAAAUGACCGGGGAUGAGCAACAAGCCAGCUCGAUGGUGCCCCCAGUCUUCAAGCAACCAGAACUACUUCUGAACAUGGUGCAGCACGAAUGUUUUCUCCUAACACUGUUCACACUGCUUACCAACCUAUGAAGACCUUUUGCUGCAAGCUCACAAAGGCUUCCUGACAUCUGGAUCUACUAUUAC